This is a long non-coding RNA of Gasterosteus aculeatus aculeatus (three-spined stickleback), 467 nucleotides long. The record is from Ensembl. Lineage: Eukaryota; Metazoa; Chordata; Actinopteri; Perciformes; Gasterosteidae.
GAAUUAUCAAAAUAAUUGUCACAUAAAAGUGCAAUGUUUAGGAUUUGGGAAGUUGCUGGAUACUUUCAUGUGAUAAGCUAAUUUGGGAUGUUGUGUCUUUUGUUGUAAAAUCAUCCCAAAAAAUCCACUUUCUUGUCACAAACACAGAGCACAACAGCAAAAAUCAAUGCUUUCUCAGAUGGACCCUCCCACACUCAACGACUGAUGGAAUGGAAAACCUGGUACUAUGGAAACCUGUAGACAACUUCCCCGGACAAAUGCAACAAUCCCUCAAAUGACUGUUGAUGACUGAAAACCAGUUGAGUGCUGCUGAGGGUUGAAAUUGAGGAGCAAUUACAAGCCUGCCAAGGUCAGGAUGAGUCAAAGCUGGACUCAUCCUGACCUUCAACCCAUGCACACGUUGUCUCUAUGCACCCAACAGACUGGACCGAAACCCCCCUGCAGAGGGCUUUGCUACUUAACAUAAC